CAAGUCUGUAAUACUCCCUGUUGAUUACAUAUAAAAGACACAAAAUAUUACUUUCUUAAAAGCAGCUUCAACCACUGCUGUACAAAGCAGUUCUCUGAUGGAACAGAUUUAUGAAGUAACAGCUGAAAGGUAUGCAGAUCACAAGAUACAUGACAAAUGUACUUUAUUACAUGGAUCAGAAAUACCACAUGUACUAACAGUUGCUGUACAAUGAUACACAACACCCAACUAAGACUAUUUAAAGGUUUUGCUGAUAUUGAAAACUAUAAAGACACAAUGUGAGAGUAAGAAAGUGUUUCAUAAGAUAGCAUAAUGCCAAGACAAUUCAUCGCUUUAGGAUAUUAAAUACAUUCCGCAUAUUAAAAACUUAAUGUAUUAUAAAGCUAUGCCAUUCUUUAAAUGAAAACUUGAAGGACUUUACUCCAUUCAUUUUUCUUUACAGGACUAUUGCAGUACCAUUCAUUGUUUAAAGCAGAUGUUUAUAACAUUUUUCCAUACUUUAAAGUGGAACUUAAUGGAACGAAUACCAGACCUAACAUUAACAAAAUUAAAGAGAUUUCAUAUUUUAUUUCCACCAAAAAGAUACUUAAGUCUACAGUUAUGUAGUACCAAAAAACUAUGUAGAGCAAAACAAGCAUGAUACAUUUCAAACAUGACAAUUUAUUACGAGGCAUUUUUUUUUGGCUGAAAAGAACUUUAACAGCUUUCAACCCAAAUUCCAAGAACAGUUGGCCCUCUGUAUCUAUGAAUUCUGCAUUUGGGGCUUCGUCCUGAGAUAAAAAAUAUUCAAAAGAAAACUACAGUUGCAUCUGUACUGAACAUGUACCGACUUUUUUUCUUAUCAUUAUUCCCUAAAUACAGUAUAACAACUAUUUACAUAGCAUUUUCAUUGUAUUAUAAGUAAUCUAGAGAUGAUUUAAAGUACAGUCAUGCAUUGCAUGAUGACAUUUCAGUCAAUAUAGGCAGUGGUCCCAUAAGAUUACAGUAGAGCUGAAACAUUCCUAUGGCCCAGUGACACUGUAGCCAUCUUAACAUCACAGUGCAAUGCAUUACUCACGUGUUUGUGGUGAUGCUGGUGUAAACAAACCUACUGUGCUGUCAGUCAUAUAAAGGUAUAGCACAUACAAUUAUGUACAGUUCAUAAUACUUGAUAAUAAUGACUACGGUUUAUGGCUUUACUAUACUUUUUAUUUUAGAGUGUACUCCUUCUACUUAAAGAAAAAGUUGACUGUGAACAGCCUCAGGCAGGUCCUCCAGAAGGUAUUGCACAAGAAGGUGUUGCUCUCAUAGGAGAUGGCAACUCCAUGCCUGUUAUUGCCCCUGAAGGCCUUGCAGUGGGACAAGCUGUGGAGGUGGAAGACAGUGUAGAUGGAGGCUAAUGUGUUUGUGUCUUAGUUUUUAACAAAAAAACUUAAGAAGUAAAAAAAGAAAUUAAAAAAUUAAAAAUUGUGGAAAUAGAAAAAAGCUUAUAAAAAUAUAAAAUAUUUGUGUACAGUUGUACAAUGUAUUUGUGUUUUAAGGUAAGUGUUAUGAUAAAAGGGUUAUACAGUUUAAAAAAUUAAAACGUUUAUAAGGUAAAAAAGUUACAGGAAGCUAAAGUUAAUUUAUUAUUGAAGAAAGUUUUUUAUAAGUUUAUGUAGCCUAAGUGCACAGUGUAUAUAAAGCCUACAGCAGGCCGAGUACAGUGGCUCACGCCUGUAAUCGCAGCACUUUGGGAGGCUGAGGCAGGUGGAUCACCUGAGGUCAGGAGUUCAAGGCCAGCCUGACCAACAUGGAGAAACCUCAUCUCUACCAAAAAUACAAAAUUAGCCGGCCGUGGUGGUGCAUGCCUGUAAUCCUAGCUAGUCGGGAGGUUGAGGCAGAAGAAUUGCUUGAACCCAGGAGGUGGAGGUUGAGGUGAGCUGAGAUUGCGCCAUUGUACUCCAGCCUGGGCAACAAGAGUGAAACUCCGUCUCAAAAAAAAAAAAAAAAAAUAUACAGCAGUAUACAGUCAUGUCUGAGGCCUUCACAUUCACUCAUGGCUUACUCAUUGACUCACCCCAAGCACGAGUCCUCCAAGCACUAUUCAUAAGUGGUACAGGUGUACCAUUUUUUUAUCUUUUAUACUGUAUUUUUACUGUACCUUUUCUAUGUUUAGAUACACAAAUACUUCCCAUUGUGAUACAAUUGCCUACAGUACUCAGUACAGUAACUUGCUUGACCAAUUUGUAGCCUAGAAGCAAUAGGCUAUAUCACAUAGCCUAAGUGUAGUAGACGAUACCCUCUAGAUUUGUGUAAGUACAGUCUAUGAUAUUCACACAAUGAUUAACGAUAUUACCUAGUGACACACUUCUCAGAACACAUCCCAGUCAUUUAGUGACAUAUGACUAUAUAUGGGAGGAUGGGCAUGGGUUAUAUGCAAAUAUUUCACCAGUUUAUGUAAGCGCUUCCUUAAAUCAAAUAAAAGUCUGUCUCUCUGUAGCUUUCCAUCAUAGGUAUUCAUUCUAUACUCUGGGACAGGCGGCUUGCUCACUACUUAGCAGUUGCAUGACUUUGGGUAAAUUUAGUUAACCUUUCAAACUGUUUUCUCAUCUGAAAAUAGGGAUAAUUAAAGUAUUGAUCCCACAGUGUUUUAAAGAUUAAAUAAUAUACAUAAAGCAUUUAAGAGAGUACGCAUUCUCUAAAUGUUGGCUGUUGGGUUAUUUUUACUGCUUGCCUACCAAAUUAAGCUUAUUUGGCAACACAUUGUAUUUUCUCCCCUGCUCUAAAAUAACUGCAAAAGACUCUUGGCAUUCAACUGCGGAAAAUUUAGGGUUUUGUAAGCAGGCCCAAAAGUGGCCCUGGGCCUCCUGGCUACCUGACAGUCCUCUGGAAACAGCAGAGUGACCUUUGACCUGAUGUAAGUAUUUAACAGUCCCACCUCACCCCUAAACAUUUCCUUGUAAAAUUGGUAUGUGUCUACUGCAACAGUGUUUUUAUUAAUACAUGCAGGCAAAUAGAGGGAAAAAGACAUAUAUUUUGUGUUUAGCACAAAUUUGAAUCACUCUGCCAGAUGGCAUCAGAAGUUAGUCACUUAACUAGUAAGAUUAGCCAACAGCUUAGCAUCUGCAUUUCUAUUGUAGUAUUUAUAAAUUUGGCAAUGCCUUAGAUUCCUCCCAAUUUUAUGUUGUGGUCAGCACUUCCCUAAAUUACACAUUGCUGCCCCUCACCAUCACCACCAGUCCAUUUCAGAUAUUUGAUUCAAGUCAUUUAUAGCUAUUUUUCUUCUCCAACUCUUAAGCCAUAUUCCAGAAACACGGAUCCAAAUUUUGAAAAUAUCUGAAUUUCCUAAUAAGCAAAUAUAUACUGCUGCAUCCUUAUUUGAUGUAGCAUGUGAAUUACAUAGUGGGAAGAGAUAUCUACACUAAUGUGACAGUAGAAAAUAGGAUGUGGUCAAAACCACUACUUGAUUCUACCUUAGAGCUUCAACUGCAGUUUGCAUUUCUUCUCUGAUUAGUACCUUGGGCAACUACUGAUCAUGGCCUACACCUUCCCCUUUUGGAUUGGUCAGCCCAUUCCUAAUGAAGUGUCACCUGAGGAAAUCCAGUCUGCCUUAGGCCUAGAGAUUUGAGGAGGGUUCUGUACAUCAUUAUUCUACUUAAACCUGCUCUUUAUCUGAUCCUGAGCCCACAUGAACCCAAUCUAUCACAGGUUGACCCAAAAAUAGGUAUUCUAUCCUAAAAUCACCUUUCUCUCUUAGCAAGAGUUUGCACAUCCUUGAGAGGCAGAAUGGCAUUGUAAGAGUAUAGGCUCUAGAGCCACACUGCCUAAAUUUGAAUCCCAGAUUUCAGUUUUAGUUGUAUGGCCUGUGUGCCUCAGUUUCCCCAUGUGUAAACAGAGAUUACAUUAGUACCAAACUCAGAUAACAUUAGUACCAAACUCAUGAGAUUGCUGGGCAGAUUAAAUGAGUUAAUACUUGAAGCAGUUUUGAUCAUCUUUAAAUUAUAUUUUGAUUUCAGACUUAAUUUCUUAAAACACAAAAAGUGUUACAUUCAAUUCCUAAUGUGAUUUAGCUCACUCAAUCUAAUUCCAAAAUGAUUUGGUGCUUAGCUUGAGCUCCAUCUUGUGGCUUUACAGCAAUUCUCUGGAAAAUGUCAGUCAAAAAGAUGACAAAUUUCAAAAAAAUAAGCUAAUUAUUUAAAAGAUAAAAGGACUAUGCUAUACUUCUCGAUUUGUAAUCUUUAAAAAUAAAGUGCCAAAGAUGUGACCAUACCCCUGCACUAAUUUUGAAAUGCUAGUCUAAAUUUCCUGCCAAUAUUUGGAGGUGGGGAGAAUCUUGCUGGUAGUGUUCAGGAACUCAGUGCCUUAGAGGGUACUGACAACACUGUGUCAGUAAACUUCUCUUCAGCAGUCGCCUUUCCAGAGGCCAUGUGACACUUGAGAACAUGAUUCCCAAAUAUGUUUUCUGGUAAUGGUGCUUUGAUUUUUGAUUUUGUUAACUUUCAAGUUAAAUCCUGAAUGGACAAACUUCAUGACUGGACACAAUGAAGUGAAAAUCCUAACAUCAGAGAGGCUCUGGAUGAAAGCUCAAAGCUACUAUCAACAGAAUCAAAUUAGAGGUUAUCAGCCACAGAAAACAUGAACAUAACCCUGGCAUUGGUCUCUACCUGACAAUGCUGCCAAAAUGUAAAUAAGUGCCAACUGUGUAAUAUCACGAAUGUAGACUUUUUUUUUUUUUUUUUUUGAGAUGGAGUUUCGCUCUUCUUGCUCAGGCUGGAGUGCAAUGGUGUGGUCUUGACUCACUGCAACCUCUGCCUCCCAGGUUCAAGCGAUUCUCCUUCCUCAGCCUCCCAAGUAGCUGGGAUUACAGGCACCUGCCACCAUGCCCAGCUAACUUUGUAUUUUUAGUAGAGACAGGGUUUCACCAUGUUGGUCAGGCUGGUCUCAAACUCCUGACCUCAGGUGAUCCAUCUGCCUCAGCCUCCCAAAUUGUUAGAAUUUGGUGCCUGGCCCCCUUUUCCAAAAAUCAUAAAAAAUGUCUACAUUAGGCCGGGUGUGGUGGCUCACGCAUGUAAUCCCACCACUUUGGGAGGCUGGGGCAGGUGGAUUACUUGAGUCCAGGAGUUUGAGACCAGCCUGGGCAACAUGGCGAAACCCUGUCUCUACAAAAAUACAAAAAUUAGCUGGGCGUGGUGGCACCCACCUGUAGUCCCAGCUACUGGGGAGGCUGAGGUGGGAGAAUCGCUUCAGCCUGGGAGGUGGAGGUUGCAGCGGAGCCACACUUGUGCCAAUCACUCCAGCCUGGGUGACAGAGUGAGACCCCAUCUCAAAAAAAAAAAAAAAAAAAACAUAAAUAAUUCAGCUACUGUAUUUAGGCUGAUAUUGUCAGUGGCUUAACUGGUUGUUUGCAAUUUUUUUUAUUUUAUGAAUAAAAAUGUACAUAUUCACUUUUCCCUCACAAAUGCUAGUGUUAUUCAUACCUACACCAAAGGCAACAAAGAUCAUGAAUGACAUCUUUCAAUUCAUAUCUUUCUUAGCUGUUAAGAAAUUUUAAGCAUUUAAAGUUAUCUACCAACUUUUCAAUAAACUAUUGAGAAAAAUAAGAAAAGUCUACUAUAUUUAAACAAUUCCAAGAGUUUACUGGCAUCAAAUUUUAUAAGCUUAAAUUUUCUGAAACAUUUGGGUCAUGUCCUCUUUAUUACAAUACAUGUCCAUGUAUUGUGCCCCAAUUUAGCAGUGUGCCUGGCACAAAGUUUGUGACCUCAUGACCAAGUGGCCUUAUUCUAUUUCACAUUUUACUUGAGUUCUCCUGGGAAGUUAACAUCUUCUUCUAAACAGAUACACAGCUCUCAGCCCUAUGAGAGCAGAAAUCUUAUCUUAUUCAAUCUGUCCCAAGCAUCUGGAAAGUCCCUGGCCCACAUACUAGGCACUCAGUAAGUAUUUGGUUGUUCCAGUUAACAUAUGAGAUGGUUAAUCUGAUUAUAGUGAAAUUCAGAGGGAAUGCUAAGUUUAGAUUGCUUAACUAAAAGUAAAAUAAAAAUGAAUUUAGCAAACUGUAGUAAGACAGAUUUAACUAAAAAUCAUUUCUCAGAAAACUAGUUUCAAAGAGUAGACGCUAAACAGGUUUCUUUGCUGCUGGAACCCUGUAGGACUAUUCUAAUCCUAAACUAAAAUCUUUUGUAAAUCUUCAAGUAUGUAGCAUUUCCCAAAUCGAUGUGAACACAAUUUAUUUUUUUUAACCAAGCAUCCAGAGGAAACUGAUACUGAAGAACACACUCCGGGGAAUGCUGCAUGAUACUAUAUUAGGCCACACAAUAUUAACACUAAAGAACAUUAAAUCAGUUUCCAUGAAAAACCUGAAAUGUUCUAAUUUCCUAAAAAGCAUACUGAUUUGUAUAUGUUAAUAUUCUACCUAAAAUUAAGAUAAGAAAACAUUUAAUUGAAAUCUGGUCUUCUCUAGGACUAAAAAACCUUAAGCAUACAUGAAAGAAAAAAAAAUCAGACUUGAAGAUCUACACACAAAAUAUCUUUUAUUCUGUGGAAUCAAAGCUCCACACAAGUACUUUAUAAGAUCCAUUAUUUUUUUUUUUUUUGAGACAGA
This 6559-nucleotide long non-coding RNA is filed under the name Homo sapiens (human). RNAcentral describes it as "HSALNT0190707". Lineage: Eukaryota; Metazoa; Chordata; Mammalia; Primates; Hominidae. The record is from RNAcentral.